This 159-nucleotide ribosomal RNA is filed under the name uncultured bacterium. RNAcentral describes it as "partial 16S ribosomal RNA". It matches the Rfam family "Bacterial small subunit ribosomal RNA", at positions 355 to 509 of the family's 1533-position model. The record is from RNAcentral.
UGAGGAAUAUUGGUCAAUGGGCGGGAGCCUGAACCAGCCAAGUCGCGUGAGGGAAGACGGUCCUAUGGAUUGUAAACCUCUUUAGGCGGGGAGCAAUGCCGGGCACGCGUGCCCGGAGGGAGAGUACCCCGCAGAAUAAGCAUCGGCUAACUCCGUGCC